CAGCCGCCGCGGGAAUACGGAGGGCGCGAGCGUUACCCGGAUUUACUGGGCGUAAAGGGCGUGUAGGCGGCCUGGGGCGUCCCAUGUGAAAGGCCACGGCUCAACCGUGGAGGAGCGUGGGAUACGCUCAGGCUAGAGGGUGGGAGAGGGUGGUGGAAUUCCCGGAGUAGCGAUGAAAUGCGCAGAUACCGGGAGGAACGCCGAUGGCGAAGGCAGCCACCUGGUCCACUUCUGAAGCUGAGGCGCGAAAGCGUGGGGAGCAAACCGGAUUAGAUACCCCAGUAGUCCCUGUCUCUUAUAC
Molecule: ribosomal RNA, 301 nt
Filed under: uncultured bacterium
Lineage: Bacteria
Description: partial 16S ribosomal RNA
Rfam family: Bacterial small subunit ribosomal RNA
Source: RNAcentral